This 253-nucleotide ribosomal RNA is filed under the name uncultured bacterium. RNAcentral describes it as "partial 16S ribosomal RNA". It matches the Rfam family "Bacterial small subunit ribosomal RNA", at positions 524 to 776 of the family's 1533-position model. The record is from RNAcentral.
UACGGGGGGGGCAAGCGUUGUUCGGAAUUACUGGGCGUAAAGGGCUCGUAGGCGGCCAACUAAGUCAGACGUGAAAUCCCUCGGCUUAACCGGGGGACUGCGUCUGAUACUGGAUGGCUUGAAUCCGGGAGAGGGAUGCGGAAUUCCAGGUGUAGCGGUGAAAUGCGUAGAUAUCUGGAGGAACACCGGUGGCGAAGGCGGCAUCCUGGACCGGCAUUGACGCUGAGGAGCGAAAGCCAGGGGAGCAAACGGG